ACUCUAAGGACUGGAACGCCACUUGCUCUCGCAUCCUCUCCCACCCUAAGCUCUCCUCCGCCAUCUCCGUCAACCCUUUGGCUCCUGUUGCUACAAGAGGUUUUUGACAAGGUUAUGUCGGAGCCAAUUCGAUCCCAUUUAGUUAUUGCAAGUGUUGGUCCUGGAUUUGAAUUCAAUGAUGUUCUCCAAUUCAUGGUAGAAAAUU
This is a long non-coding RNA of Hibiscus syriacus, 205 nucleotides long. RefSeq lists it as uncharacterized. NCBI's taxonomy places the organism in Eukaryota, Viridiplantae, Streptophyta, Magnoliopsida, Malvales, Malvaceae. The record is from RefSeq and is a predicted model, not a curated record. The transcript is spliced from 3 exons.